GGGAGGGAAGGAUGUCCCAGCAAAAGAAGAUAUUUCCCAAAAUAAUGUUUUGGAAGUGAGGCAAAAACACUUUCUAAGCAAGAACUGUGGAGAAGCACAUGAACAGGACCAUGYAUUGCAGGAAUAUUCCUUACCCUUUCCAGAUGCAGAUGCUCUGUUACAUAAUAUUUCUUCCAUUCAUUCAGGACAAUGUUCUCCUACAUCAGAAAGCACCUUCAGGGUUUGUGUAGAUUACAAAACAAAGGAGGAGCAAGUUACAACUCUUCAGCCCCAACAGGAAAAACAGAAAACAAAUGGAUUGCAGAAUGGAGAUGGCUUGACUGAUGAUAUUAUUAGUCUCGAAGAUCUAAAACAAAAUCACCAAGAGAAUCAAGACUCUUCUGAAACACUAUCAGACAUGGAGCGGUGUCAGGAUGUGACAGAGGAGAACAUCAUAACCUGCACUGGCUCUCUGGGUGCUGCAUUUCAUCAGUCAUGACUCACUGUCUUAAAUGCUGUAUGAACAAACAGGUAAUCAGUCAACUUGYGAAUGUUUCACUCUUUAAUUAUAUUUGA
RNAcentral lists this long non-coding RNA (555 nucleotides) under Zosterops lateralis melanops. RNAcentral's name for it is "lncRNA (ENSZLMG00000002440.1)". Lineage: Eukaryota; Metazoa; Chordata; Aves; Passeriformes; Zosteropidae. The record is from RNAcentral.